This 253-nucleotide ribosomal RNA is filed under the name uncultured bacterium. RNAcentral describes it as "partial 16S ribosomal RNA". It matches the Rfam family "Bacterial small subunit ribosomal RNA", at positions 524 to 776 of the family's 1533-position model. The record is from RNAcentral.
UACAGAGGUCUCAAGCGUUGUUCGGAUUCAUUGGGCGUAAAGGGUGCGUAGGCGGGUCUUUAAGUCAGGGGUGAAAUCCUGGAGCUCAACUCCAGAACUGCCUUUGAUACUGAAGAUCUUGAGUUCGGGAGAGGUGAGUGGAACUGCGAGUGUAGAGGUGAAAUUCGUAGAUAUUCGCAGGAACACCAGUGGCGAAGGCGGCUCACUGGCCCGAUACUGACGCUGAGGCACGAAAGCGUGGGGAGCGAACAGG